GUAGGGUGCGAGCGUUGUCCGGAAUUACUGGGCGUAAAGAGCUCGUAGGUGGUUUGUCGCGUUGUCCGUGAAAACUCACAACUCAAUUGUGGGCGUGCGGGCGAUACGGGCAGACUGGAGUACUGCAGGGGAGACUGGAAUUCCUGGUGUAGCGGUGGAAUGCGCAGAUAUCAGGAGGAACACCGGUGGCGAAGGCGGGUCUCUGGGCAGUAACUGACGCUGAGGAGCGAAAGCGUGGGGAGCGAACAGGAUUAGAUACCCUGGUAGUCCACGCCGUAAACGGUGGGUACUAGGUGUGGGUUUCCUUCCUUGGGAUCCGUGCCGUAGCUAACGCAUUAAGUACCCCGCCUGGGGAGUACGGCCGCAAGGCUA
This 372-nucleotide ribosomal RNA is filed under the name uncultured bacterium. RNAcentral's name for it is "bacterial SSU rRNA". It matches the Rfam family "Bacterial small subunit ribosomal RNA", at positions 527 to 896 of the family's 1533-position model. The record is from RNAcentral.